RNAcentral lists this ribosomal RNA (360 nucleotides) under uncultured eukaryote. RNAcentral's name for it is "partial 18S ribosomal RNA". It matches the Rfam family "Eukaryotic small subunit ribosomal RNA", at positions 592 to 976 of the family's 1831-position model. The record is from RNAcentral.
CAAUAGCAUAUAUUAACGUUGUUGCAGUUGAAAAGCUCGUAGUUGAACUUUUGGUAGGAGCGACCUGGCCUUGGGCGCAUGCCCUUGUUUGCCGUGUGUCGUGUCUGGCCAUCCUUUUCCGUUUCGGCGGGAAUCUUUUACUGUGAGUAAACUGGAGUGCUCAAAACAAGACGUUUGUUUGGUACAUUAAAGCAUGGAAUAAUAGGAUAGGACCUGGUUACUAUUUUGUUGGUUUGCAUAGCUAGGUAAUGAUUAACAGGGACAGUUGGGGGUAUUCGUAUUUAAUUGUCAGAGGUGAAAUUCUUGGAUUUAUGAAAGACGAACGACUGCGAAAGCAUUUACCAAGGAUGUUUUCAUUAA